This is a long non-coding RNA of Zalophus californianus (California sea lion), 783 nucleotides long. RefSeq lists it as uncharacterized. The record is from RefSeq and is a predicted model, not a curated record. Lineage: Eukaryota; Metazoa; Chordata; Mammalia; Carnivora; Otariidae. The transcript is spliced from 4 exons.
CCCCGCACGGGGCCCCCACGGCCCUUCUGCCCGACCCCGCGCGCCCUCGGGGAGGGGGAGCCGGAGCGGCCGUCUAAGCGCAGGAGCAGGGCCGGCGGAAUCCGUGCGGCCCCUCGGGGCUCCGCCAGCCGCCGGCCCUCUCUUUACACAGAUGGGGUCCAGAUAAAGAAAGAAAACUACAGCAAGAUGGAUUUAAAGGUGAUUCUAGAAGCAAUUCCCAAAUUUGGAGCAGUGGGAGGAAGAGGGUCAGGCUAGCAAGUAUGGAGCCUAUACAUCUGGCAAACCAGGCCCCCAGGCCCAACAACAGGAAGAGGAGGCCCAUCAGCAGCCCCAGGACCCAGAGUAGCUUCUGGAACAGACUCAGGCGGUGCAAGGCUGGAAUACAAGGCCAUGUGGGAAGCCCAGGCCAGCCCCAGCUGCCAGCCACGAGGAUGCAGCCACCACCCUCCGCCAUCUAGCUUCAGCUCAGCAACUGGACCACGGCAGCCACACGCGGCGAGACCACCGAAGACCUGCCCAGCUCCGCUCAGCCCGAGUUGCUGACCCCCAGAAUUGUGAGCAAUACAACGGCUGUUGCUUGAAGCUCCAUAUUUUGGAGUGGCUUGUUAUUGCAGCCACGGCUGGCUGAUACUGCGCAGGGAUGGAGCAGGGACCCAGGCACUCCGGGUGCACUCUCUCUCCAUACUCCUCACAGGGCGAGGGGGCUGAUAUUUUACACAUGAGGAAAGCCAGGCAGGGAUAUACAAGGUCACACAAGCAGUCAGCGGGAGUUCUCCAACCCAG